Molecule: long non-coding RNA, 1043 nt
Organism: Hippocampus comes (tiger tail seahorse)
Lineage: Eukaryota; Metazoa; Chordata; Actinopteri; Syngnathiformes; Syngnathidae
Exons: 2
Source: RefSeq, a predicted model, not a curated record
UUUUUUUUUUUUUUUUACAUCACAAAAACCUAGCGCUUCAACAGUGGUGUGUAGAUAUUUUCGAUCCACUAUAAUUCUCCUUUGGUGAGAUUUUACGACCCCAAAUAUAAUCCAUUUUCUUCACAAUGAAGCAUCUGGCAGCAACAAAUGAAGUAAAUUUUACCGUGUUGGUACCAUUUGAGAGAGGAGCAACACAGAGGAAAGAUCAGAGACCUUGAAUGGGAACCAAGUUUUGUUUUGAUGGGGUGUUUGAUAAGAUGUGUUCUGUCGACUGAGCAGCAUGACAAGAAGCCGAUGAAGGCUAUCAAAAUGAGUGGUCACGAUGGGGAGGAAACGAAGGCGGAAGCAAAGUCAUCUUUCCAAUGCUGCGUUUCUAAACAUUGUCUGCCAGAGAAGUAAUUCAUAAGAGUGGGAUAAGCAGCGAGUGGAAGAUGCAGAAAUGGUGGCAGAUUGACACACGGACUUUCCUCCACGUGACUUUAGUAUGCAUUGAACGAAUUGAAUUUGACUUCCUGUUCCUAUUUAUUUGCCCGAGAGUCAAGGCGGUUGCUUUUCGACCAACUUUGCCAGGGCCUUGGACGAUGUAAACAAGAGUUGCCGUCUAUUGGGCGAUGCCGAAUUCAAAGCAGUAUGUCCACUUUAGCAUUCAGUGUACUAUGCAAGACCAAAGUGAUGGUGGCAGGCCCGGGCUUCUCUGUUUAGCCUUUCAGGAGGAUCUCGACUCACAUAUCAGAAACAUCAGCCACAGCUGGAACAUGAUCCUGUGAUUUGACAUCGUCGCAACUCUUCAGAUGACAACCAGGGACUUGAAAUGUAUCACAUUUUAUGGACUCUUUUCAUACUAUACACGAAGAUACCUUGUGAUCAAAUUAACCCAAAGACAUGUACCGUAAAUGAAUAAGAGAAUACAAAAAAAUAGACAUCUGCUAAAGAAAAUGAAAUGGGUGUUGUCUCGCUAAACUACCCUCUGUCUCCCUCUUUUUCUCUUAAGUUGUGUCUCAGCUUUGUUACUGCGCCUUUUUAGCUGACCCGCAUGGCAUGAG